AUCCAGCUGACGAGUCCCAAAUCGAACGAAACGUGCGUCCUGGAU
RNAcentral lists this non-coding RNA (45 nucleotides) under Schistosoma haematobium. The record is from RNAcentral. Lineage: Eukaryota; Metazoa; Platyhelminthes; Trematoda; Strigeidida; Schistosomatidae.